CUUCUCCAGUGUGAACCCAGCUGCCCUUUAAGGUCAGCCAGGAGAAGCUGGCUCAAAGUAUCAUCUAUACAUGCAAAGAGAAUACAGCUGAAAGUGUGGGCCUGAGCUUUCUCAGUUGUAGCUCUUGCUUCCCUAGGUGAUGAACUGCCAUGGAUACAAAACAGGCAAAGAUUCUCAAUUUCUGGAGGGACUAUUCCAAUGAAGGUUCAUCAUUGCUCUGACCCAGCAGGAAGAGCUACAAUAUUCAGGCUUCCAUUUGCUCAGAUUUCAACGUGUUGCUACAUAAUCCCCAGUACAAUCAAAAGUGUGUCAAAAAUCUAUACCAAAAUACCUUUUGAUGAGGAAGAUAAAAGGACCCUCUAUCUUGAGUUUCAUUUGAAUCGCAUGCUGAGGCUAUCAAAGGUAGACACAGGCAACAUCGCAGUAAUUGAUGGUGCCAUGGCAGAAAUAACCCGUCUGUGCCAUCAGAAGAAUACAGAAAAGGGCUCAUAUUGGCAAGAUGUUUCAAGGCACCAAGAAGCACAAAGUCAUGUUAAUUUCAGGAUAAAUUUGCCUGCCUGAAUUACCCAUCGUUACCAUGGCCACAUAAACAAAAUUGCUUUGUCUGUUCUUACUCAGCUUUGCUUUGGGUUUUGUCCUUCGGAUAUUUACAAGGUCACUGCAAGAGAUCUUGGAGCAGAGUUUGGAAGCGCUAGUUUUUUAAGCCAUAACUCCCAGAAUCUGGCCAGGUGAAAUAGUCUAUGGCCAUUCUGACUGGGGGCAUUCUGAGAACAAUAGCUCCUUCCCCCCCCCCCAUUUUUUUCAAGUUCUGAAAAAUGAGUAGGUCUUGCUGGUAUGAUGGAAGUAGUACUAGAAAGAAACUGGGUGGUUGGCAGUCUUCAUGUGUUGUGCUCGUCCAUUGUCUGUAGGAUUGUAGAACAGGGUGCACAGAGAAUUCAGGGUGAAUGGGCUGUCAAUGUCAACAUGAUGUCUGUGGCAUGGAGACAGAUUCUGUAAAUCUUGAGUGCUGUCCUUUCCCCAGGUGAGACGCAAGUACAGGAGACACUGGCAGUGACUGUGGGUGAGUAGGUAACACUUCACACUUGAUGCAACACUUUGCUGCAGCUCUGAUUGGAUAGUUCAUUGAAUCUUGGUUUGUUUUUGUUUGUUUUUUAAAGAGAAUGAAAAAGUAUUUGUGUCCUGUCAAUUUGCUCCUUUCCUUUUUUUUGUAU
Molecule: long non-coding RNA, 1211 nt
Filed under: Pogona vitticeps (central bearded dragon)
Lineage: Eukaryota; Metazoa; Chordata; Lepidosauria; Squamata; Agamidae
Description: lncRNA (ENSPVIG00000016291.1)
Source: RNAcentral